This 359-nucleotide ribosomal RNA is filed under the name uncultured bacterium. Its description in RNAcentral is "bacterial SSU rRNA". It matches the Rfam family "Bacterial small subunit ribosomal RNA", at positions 89 to 481 of the family's 1533-position model. The record is from RNAcentral.
CAGGCAGUGGCGGACGGGUGAGGAACGCGUAGGGAUGUGUCCAAGGGUGGGGGAUAACGUUGGGAAACUGACGCUAAUACCGCAUGUGAUCUGAGGAUCAAAGCCGCGAGGCGCCUGUGGAGCAACCUGCGUCCGAUUAGGUAGUUGGUGGGGUAAUGGCCUACCAAGCCUGCGAUCGGUAGCUGGUCUGAGAGGACGACCAGCCACACUGGGACUGAGACACGGCCCAGACUCCUACGGGAGGCAGCAGUGGGGAAUAUUGGACAAUGGGCGCAAGCCUGAUCCAGCAAUGCCGCGUGGAUGAAGAAGGUCUUCGGAUUGUAAAGUCCUUUCGACGGGGACGAUGAUGACGGUACCCG